RNAcentral lists this ribosomal RNA (546 nucleotides) under uncultured bacterium. Its description in RNAcentral is "partial 16S ribosomal RNA". It matches the Rfam family "Bacterial small subunit ribosomal RNA", at positions 355 to 885 of the family's 1533-position model. The record is from RNAcentral.
UGGGGAAUUUUGGACAAUGGGGGAAACCCUGAUCCAGCCAUCCCGCGUGUGCGAUGAAGGCCUUCGGGUUGUAAAGCACUUUUGGCAGGAAAGAAACGUCGCGGGUUAAUACCCCGCGAAACUGACGGUACCUGCAGAAUAAGCACCGGCUAACUACGUGCCAGCAGCCGCGGUAAUACGUAGGGUGCAAGCGUUAAUCGGAANUACUGGGCGUAAAGCGUGCGCAGGACGGUUCGGAAAGAAAGAUGUGAAAUCCCAGAGCUUAACUUUGGAACUGCGAUUUUUAACUACCGGGCUAGAUGUGUGGUCAGAGGGUAGGUGGAAUUCCGCGUGUAGCAGUGAAAUGCGUAAGAUCAUGCGGAGGAACACCGAUGGCGAAGGCAGCCUCCUGGGAUAACACUGACGCUCAUGGCACGAAAGCGUGGGGAGCAAACAGGAUUAGAUAACCCUGGUAGUCCACGCCCUAAACGAUGGUCAACUAGCUGUUGGGGCCUUCGGGCCUUGUAGCGCAGCUAACGCGUGAAGUUGACCGCCUGGGGAGUACGG